CGCCCUCUGCGGUGUUCGUAUCCGCUCCUGGUCCUCUGAACCUAUAAGUUUUAAGCCGGGAGCCGCUACAGCAGAUGCUGUUGUGCAAGCCCACCUCCGAGUGGGAAGCCUGAUGCAUCUCGGUGGCACCCACCUGAACCCUUCGGUUCAGGGCAAUGGGGCGGUACGGCACAGGCGGAGGGCGC
RNAcentral lists this non-coding RNA (185 nucleotides) under Gammaproteobacteria bacterium. RNAcentral describes it as "6S RNA". It matches the Rfam family "6S / SsrS RNA". Rfam says of the family: E. coli 6S RNA was the first non coding RNA to be sequenced, but its function was unknown until recently. It consists of 184 nucleotides that fold into an extended hairpin structure with a large single-stranded internal bulge. The 6S RNA specifically associates with RNA polymerase holoenzyme containing the sigma70 specificity factor. Lineage: Bacteria; Pseudomonadati; Pseudomonadota; Gammaproteobacteria. The record is from RNAcentral.